Molecule: ribosomal RNA, 492 nt
Filed under: uncultured bacterium
Lineage: Bacteria
Description: partial 16S ribosomal RNA
Rfam family: Bacterial small subunit ribosomal RNA
Source: RNAcentral
AGUGAACGCUGGCGGUAGGCCUAACACAUGCAAGUCGAACGGCAGCACAGUAAGAGCUUGCUCUUACGGGUGGCGAGUGGCGGACGGGUGAGGAAUACAUCGGAAUCUACUUUUUCGUGGGGGAUAACGUAGGGAAACUUACGCUAAUACCGCAUACGACCUACGGUUGAAAGCAGGGGAUCUUCGGACCUUGCGCGAUUGAUUGAGCCGAUGUCGGAUUAGCUAGUUGGCGGGGUAAAGGCCCACCAAGGCGACGAUCCGUAGCUGGUCUGAGAGGAUGAUCAGCCACACUGGAACUGAGACACGGUCCAGACUCCUACGGGAGGCAGCAGUGGGGAAUAUUGGACAAUGGGCGCAAGCCUGAUCCAGCCAUACCGCGUGGGUGAAGAAGGCCUUCGGGUUGUAAAGCCCUUUUGUUGGGAAAGAAAAGCAGCAGGUUAAUACCCCGCUGUUCUGACGGUACCCAAAGAAUAAGCACCGGCUAACUUCGUG